CAGUCGCCACGGUAAUACGUAGGGUGCGAGCGUUAAUCGGAAUUACUGGGCGUAAAGCGUGCGCAGGCGGUUUUGUAAGACAGGCGUGAAAUCCCCGGGCUCAACCUGGGAAUGGCGCUUGUGACUGUAAAGCUAGAGUGCGGCAGAGGGGGAUGGAAUUCCGCGUGUAGCAGUGAAAUGCGUGGAUAUGCGGAGGAACACCGAUGGCGAAGGCAGUCCCCUGGGCCUGCACUGACGCUCAUGCACGAAAGCGUGGGGAGCAAACAGGAUUAGAUACCCCAGUAGUCCCUGUCUCUUAUAC
RNAcentral lists this ribosomal RNA (301 nucleotides) under uncultured bacterium. RNAcentral's name for it is "partial 16S ribosomal RNA". It matches the Rfam family "Bacterial small subunit ribosomal RNA", at positions 509 to 807 of the family's 1533-position model. The record is from RNAcentral.